This 115-nucleotide ribosomal RNA is filed under the name Polycladospora coralii. The record is from RNAcentral. Lineage: Bacteria; Bacillati; Bacillota; Bacilli; Caryophanales; Thermoactinomycetaceae.
UCUGGUAAUGAUGGCGGAGGGGAUCCACUCGUUCCCAUCCCGAACACGACCGUUAAGCCCUCCAGCGCCGAUGGUACUAUAGGACGACCUAUGGGAGAGUAGGACGUUGCCAGGC